ACGCUGGCGGCGUGCCUAAUACAUGCAAGUCGAGCGAACAGACGAGGCGCUUGCUCCUCUGACGUUAGCGGCGGACGGGUGAGUAACACGUGGAUAACCUACCUAUAAGACUGGGAUAACUUCGGGAAACCGGAGCUAAUACCGGAUAAUAUAUUGAACCGCAUGGUUCAAUAGUGAAAGACGGUUUUGCUGUCACUUAUAGAUGGAUCCGCGCCGCAUUAGCUAGUUGGUAAGGUAACGGCUUACCAAGGCGACGAUGCGUAGCCGACCUGAGAGGGUGAUCGGCCACACUGGAACUGAGACACGGUCCAGACUCCUACGGGAGGCAGCAGUAGGGAAUCUUCCGCAAUGGGCGAAAGCUUGACGGAGCAACGCCGCGUGAGUGAUGAAGGUCUUCGGAUCGUAAAACUCUGUUAUUAGGGAAGAACAAAUGUGUAAGUAACUAUGCACGUCUUGACGGUACCUAAUCAGAAAGCCACGGCUAACUACGUG
Molecule: ribosomal RNA, 492 nt
Filed under: uncultured bacterium
Lineage: Bacteria
Description: partial 16S ribosomal RNA
Rfam family: Bacterial small subunit ribosomal RNA
Source: RNAcentral